UACGGGGGGAGCAAGCGUUGUUCGGAUUUACUGGGCGUAAAGGGCGCGUAGGCGGUCAGCACGAGUCAGUUGUGAAAUCUCCGGGCUUAACUCGGAAAGGUCAACUGAUACUGUGCGACUAGAGUGCGGAAGGGGCAACUGGAAUUCUCGGUGUAGCGGUGAAAUGCGUAGAUAUCGAGAGGAACACCUGCGGCGAAGGCGGGUUGCUGGGCCGACACUGACGCUGAUGCGCGAAAGCCAGGGGAGCGAACGGG
Molecule: ribosomal RNA, 254 nt
Filed under: uncultured bacterium
Lineage: Bacteria
Description: partial 16S ribosomal RNA
Rfam family: Bacterial small subunit ribosomal RNA
Source: RNAcentral